CAGCCGCCGCGGGAAUACGGAGGGUGCAAGCGUUAAUCGGAAUUACUGGGCGUAAAGCGCACGCAGGCGGUCUGACAAGUCAGAUGUGAAAUCCCCGGGCUUAACCUGGGAACUGCAUUUGAAACUGUCAGGCUGGAGUCUUGUAGAGGGGGGUGGAAUUCCAGGUGUAGCGGUGAAAUGCGUAGAGAUCUGGAGGAAUACCGGUGGCGAAGGCGGCCCCCUGGACAAAGACUGACGCUCAGGUGCGAAAGCGUGGGGAGCAAACAGGAUUAGAUACCCCCGUAGUCCAUGUCUCUUAUAC
This 301-nucleotide ribosomal RNA is filed under the name uncultured bacterium. RNAcentral's name for it is "partial 16S ribosomal RNA". It matches the Rfam family "Bacterial small subunit ribosomal RNA", at positions 509 to 807 of the family's 1533-position model. The record is from RNAcentral.